GGGCUUGACAUCCCACGAACCUGCCCGAAAAGGUGGGGUGCCCGCAAGGAAGCGUGGAGACAGGUGGUGCAUGGCUGUCGUCAGCUCGUGUCGUGAGAUGUUGGGUUAAGUCCCGCAACGAGCGCAACCCUCACCCCUAGUUGCCACCGGGUUAAGCCGAGCACUCAAGGGGAACUGCCAGCGUCAAGCUGGAGGAAGGCGGGGAUGACGUCGAGUCAUCAUGCCCCUUACGCCCUGGGCUACACACGUGCUACAAUGGCCAGUACAAAGGGACGCGAGACUGCGAAGUGGAGCUAAUCCCAAAAAGCUGGUCUAAGUUCAGAUUGCAGUCUGCAACUCGACUGCAUGAAGGAGGAAUCGCUAGUAAUCGCGCAUCAGCCCGGCGCGGUGAAUACGUUCCCGGGCCUUGUACACACCGCCCGUCACACCACGAAAGCUGUCUGUACUCGAAGUCGCUGAG
RNAcentral lists this ribosomal RNA (460 nucleotides) under uncultured Methylomirabilota bacterium. RNAcentral describes it as "bacterial SSU rRNA". It matches the Rfam family "Bacterial small subunit ribosomal RNA", at positions 977 to 1434 of the family's 1533-position model. Lineage: Bacteria; Methylomirabilota (SeqCode). The record is from RNAcentral.